This 1065-nucleotide long non-coding RNA is filed under the name Homo sapiens (human). RNAcentral's name for it is "long non-coding RNA NONHSAT217551.1". Lineage: Eukaryota; Metazoa; Chordata; Mammalia; Primates; Hominidae. The record is from RNAcentral.
GCUGGUCCGAAUUCGGUGGCGCCACGUCCGCCCGUCUCCGCCUUCUGCAUCGCGGCUUCGGCGGCUUCCACCUAGACACCUAACAGUCGCGGAGCCGGCCGCGUCGUGAGGGGGUCGGCACGGGGAGUCGGGCGGUCUUGUGCAUCUUGGCUACCUGUGGGUCGAAGAUGUCGGACAUCGGAGACUGGUUCAGGAGCAUCCCGGCGAUCACGCGCUAUUGGUUCGCCGCCACCGUCGCCGUGCCCUUGGUCGGCAAACUCGGCCUCAUCAGCCCGGCCUACCUCUUCCUCUGGCCCGAAGCCUUCCUUUAUCGCUUUCAGGCCAAUCACUGCCACCUUUUAUUUCCCUGUGGGUCCAGGAACUGGAUUUCUUUAUUUGGUCAAUUUAUAUUUCUUAUAUCAGUAUUCUACGCGACUUGAAACAGGAGCUUUUGAUGGGAGGCCAGCAGACUAUUUAUUCAUGCUCCUCUUUAACUGGAUUUGCAUCGUGAUUACUGGCUUAGCAAUGGAUAUGCAGUUGCUGAUGAUUCCUCUGAUCAUGUCAGUACUUUAUGUCUGGGCCCAGCUGAACAGAGACAUGAUUGUAUCAUUUUGGUUUGGAACACGAUUUAAGGCCUGCUAUUUACCCUGGGUUAUCCUUGGAUUCAACUAUAUCAUCGGAGGCUCGGUAAUCAAUGAGCUUAUUGGAAAUCUGGUUGGACAUCUUUAUUUUUUCCUAAUGUUCAGAUACCCAAUGGACUUGGGAGGAAGAAAUUUUCUAUCCACACCUCAGUUUUUGUACCGCUGGCUGCCCAGUAGGAGAGGAGGAGUAUCAGGAUUUGGUGUGCCCCCUGCUAGCAUGAGGCGAGCUGCUGAUCAGAAUGGCGGAGGCGGGAGACACAACUGGGGCCAGGGCUUUCGACUUGGAGACCAGUGAAGGGGCGGCCUCGGGCAGCCGCUCCUCUCAAGCCACAUUUCCUCCCAGUGCUGGGUGCACUUAACAACUGCGUUCUGGCUAACACUGUUGGACCUGACCCACACUGAAUGUAGUCUUUCAGUACGAGACAAAGUUUCUUAAAUCCCGAAG